UAGUAGAAUAAUAAUAUAAUAUAAUAUAAUAUUAGUAUGUUAUAUUAUAAUCAUAGCAUAUUAUUAUAUGACUAUGAAACACCAGUACGCCUAUUGCAGGCCUGUACCAGCAUCCAGUACAUUUUCGGUGCGGCAAAAUACAUCAUGGUAGCCUGUAUUCAAUGCAACGUCGUGGUAGCCAGUAUUAAUACCUGAAAAUCUUUAUUUAUAGCCUGUUUUAAAUGCAUUGUUAUCAAUACAUUUCGUAUGUCCCACAUUUAAUCCAAC
Molecule: long non-coding RNA, 267 nt
Filed under: Elaeis guineensis (African oil palm)
Lineage: Eukaryota; Viridiplantae; Streptophyta; Magnoliopsida; Arecales; Arecaceae
Description: long non-coding RNA (EGUI_LNC009049)
Source: RNAcentral